Long non-coding RNA from Triticum dicoccoides, 201 nucleotides. RefSeq lists it as uncharacterized. NCBI's taxonomy places the organism in Eukaryota, Viridiplantae, Streptophyta, Magnoliopsida, Poales, Poaceae. The transcript is spliced from 3 exons. The record is from RefSeq and is a predicted model, not a curated record.
CGGUGUUCCAACGAGUAUAGACGGGAAUGUGUCUGGCUAUUUUGUUUUUCAUUUUAUGCUCUGGUGGAACGGUAAAGAAUUGGUCAAGCCGGUUUGCGCGGAUGGGUAUGAAUUGAGGAAGCAUUUUUUAUUAUACUUGCUAAAACAUCGUGGGAAUGAAGCUAGAGGAAACUUUCCUGAUAUUGUCAAAGAAUUUCUUAA